This 465-nucleotide ribosomal RNA is filed under the name Vreelandella stevensii. RNAcentral's name for it is "partial 16S ribosomal RNA". It matches the Rfam family "Bacterial small subunit ribosomal RNA", at positions 338 to 795 of the family's 1533-position model. Lineage: Bacteria; Pseudomonadati; Pseudomonadota; Gammaproteobacteria; Oceanospirillales; Halomonadaceae. The record is from RNAcentral.
CCUACGGGGGGCAGCAGUGGGGAAUAUUGGACAAUGGGGGCAACCCUGAUCCAGCCAUGCCGCGUGUGUGAAGAAGGCCCUCGGGUUGUAAAGCACUUUCAGUGAGGAAGAACGCCUGGUGGUUAAUACCCAUCAGGAAAGACAUCACCCACAGAAGAAGCACCGGCUAACUCCGUGCCAGCAGCCGCGGUAAUACGGAGGGUGCGAGCGUUAAUCGGAAUUACUGGGCGUAAAGCGCGCGUAGGUGGCUUGAUAAGCCGGUUGUGAAAGCCCCGGGCUCAACCUGGGAACGGCAUCCGGAACUGUCAAGCUAGAGUGCAGGAGAGGAAGGUAGAAUUCCCGGUGUAGCGGUGAAAUGCGUAGAGAUCGGGAGGAAUACCAGUGGCGAAGGCGGCCUUCUGGACUGACUCUGACACUGAGGUGCGAAAGCGUGGGUAGCAAACAGGAUUAGAUACCCUGGUAGUC